Molecule: ribosomal RNA, 360 nt
Filed under: uncultured bacterium
Lineage: Bacteria
Description: partial 16S ribosomal RNA
Rfam family: Bacterial small subunit ribosomal RNA
Source: RNAcentral
GCUACGGGGGGCAGCAGUGAGGAAUAUUGGUCAAUGGACGCAAGUCUGAACCAGCCAUGCCGCGUGCAGGAUGACGGCUCUAUGAGUUGUAAACUGCUUUUGUACGAGGGUAAACCCCGAUACGUGUAUCGGGUUGAAAGUAUCGUACGAAUAAGGAUCGGAUAACUCCGUGCCAGCAGCCGCGGUAAUACGGGGGAUCCGAGCGUUAUCCGGAUUUAUUGGGGUGAAAGGGUGAGUAGGCGGGUUGAUAAGUUAGAGGUGAAAUGUCGGGGGUCAACCCCGGAACUGGCGGUAGUACUGUUGGACUAGUGAGUAGGUGCGGUAGGCGGGAUGUAUGGUGUAGGGGUGAAAUGCUUAGAG